CGCUGGCGGCGCGCUUAACACAUGCAAGUCGAGCGAGAACCGGACCUCGGUCCGGGGAAAGCGGCGAACGGGUGAGUAACACGUGGGUAAUCUGCCCUCGGCGAUCGGGAUAGCCCGGGAAACCCGGAUUAAUACCGAGUAGCCUCCGAAGCCUGCGGGCGUCGGAGAAAAGGUGGCUUCGGCUUCCGGCUGAGGAUGAGCCCGCGGCGGAUUAGCUUGUUGGCGGGUAACGGCCACCAAGGCGACGAUCCGUAGCUGGUCUGAGAGGACGAUCAGCCACACUGGGACUGAGACACGGCCCAGACUCCUACGGGAGGCAGCAGUGGGGAAUCUUGCGCAAUGGGCGAAAGCCUGACGCAGCCGACGCCGCGUGCGGGAAGAAGGCCUUCGGGUUGUAAACCGCUUUCAGGAGGGACGAAGCCACUCGGGUUAAUACCCCAGAGGGUGACGGUACCUCCAGAAGAAGCCCCGGCUAACUACGUGCCAGCCGCCGC
This 494-nucleotide ribosomal RNA is filed under the name uncultured bacterium. RNAcentral's name for it is "bacterial SSU rRNA". It matches the Rfam family "Bacterial small subunit ribosomal RNA", at positions 34 to 518 of the family's 1533-position model. The record is from RNAcentral.